Molecule: non-coding RNA, 75 nt
Organism: Bacillus sp. SA1-12
Lineage: Bacteria; Bacillati; Bacillota; Bacilli; Caryophanales; Bacillaceae
Source: Rfam
AAGGUGGGACAGAUGAUUGGGGUGAAGUCGUAACAAGGUAGCCGUAUCGGAAGGUGCGGCUGGAUCACCUCCUUU